CUGCUUGCUAACGGCGCCGCCCUGGGCAACUAGGGCGACGUUGGGCAUGCUACCCUUGCCUAUAUAUACCAUUUGUUAUUUCCCUCGGCGGGGCAACCCGCCGCUGGGGACAUUUAAACCCUUAUGUAUUAAGCAUCAAACCUUCUGAAACAAACUAAAUAAUCA
RNAcentral lists this unclassified non-coding RNA (165 nucleotides) under uncultured Pleosporales. RNAcentral's name for it is "sequence contains ITS1". Lineage: Eukaryota; Fungi; Ascomycota; Dothideomycetes; Pleosporales. The record is from RNAcentral.